This 492-nucleotide ribosomal RNA is filed under the name uncultured bacterium. RNAcentral describes it as "partial 16S ribosomal RNA". It matches the Rfam family "Bacterial small subunit ribosomal RNA", at positions 29 to 507 of the family's 1533-position model. The record is from RNAcentral.
AGUGAACGCUGGCGGUAGGCCUAACACAUGCAAGUCGAACGGCAGCACAGUAAGAGCUUGCUCUUACGGGUGGCGAGUGGCGGACGGGUGAGGAAUACAUCGGAAUCUACUUUUUCGUGGGGGAUAACGUAGGGAAGCUUACGCUAAUACCGCAUACGACCUACGGGUGAAAGCAGGGGAUCUUCGGACCUUGCGCGAUUGAAUGAGCCGAUGUCGGAUUAGCUAGUUGGCGGGGUAAAGGCCCACCAAGGCGACGAUCCGUAGCUGGUCUGAGGGGAUGAUCAGCCACACUGGAACUGAGACACGGUCCAGACUCCUACGGGAGGCAGCAGUGGGGAAUAUUGGACAAUGGGCGCAAGCCUGAUCCAGCCAUACCGCGUGGGUGAAGAAGGCCUUCGGGUUGUAAAGCCCUUUUGUUGGGAAAGAAAAGCAGCAGGUUAAUACCCCGCUGUUCUGACGGUACCCAAAGAAUAAGCACCGGCUAACUUCGUG